UAUAUGAUUUCACAUGAUUUUAUGUAAAUAUAUGAACACAUAUAACACACAAACACACGUGUAAUGGAGAAGAUAUGAUGCAAACAACCGUGUAUAAAAAAAGUAACCUAAAGUGGGGUGGGCUUCGGUCAUCUUUCUUUUAAGCUGGAAGCCAGAAGACCGGAAAGCAAAUGCAGAGACCAGAAGGGACUUAAGGAGUCAGAAGAAACAGCUGUAAAUUAAGAGGCCAAAGUUCUCCUUCCUGAUUCUCGCCCUGCCCCUCACACAGGCCCUGCUAUUCAACAUUUUUGUCGAUGAAUUGAACGAAGGCCUAGAAGGCAUGAUUGAAGUUCUCUAACGUUGCAGAUGACUUAAAACUGGUACAACCCAAAUAAAGGACUGGAAGGUAUGGAUUAUGAUAUUCUGCAAGACAAAGGAUCUAGAACUAUCAUCUAUCACCUAUCUAAUGAAACUGAGCAUAAUACUACAGGGGAACAAACACUUAUUUAAUGAAAUAGAAGACUUCCAGGCGUUCCUAACAAAAUGACUAUAGUUGAAAAGAAAAUUUGAUGAUCAAAAUUCAUCAUCACUCAAGAGAAGCAUAAAAAGGAUCAUGAGUUUUCCCAACGUUUCAAGGAGUGAGGAAGUAAGGACCCAGAAUGAUAGAGAUAUUCAAAGGAAAGUAAGCAGGAUCAAGAAAGAGGAGCAGCAAGACCAGAGAAGACAGAAGCUGCAAAGGCACUGGCACCUUCAGGAACAGAGAGGAGGUCAUCAGAGGCUGCUAGGAUAAAGCCUUCACGUCUAGGGAGAAUGGCACUACGAAGAUCCAUUGAGACCGUUUAUCUUUAUUUCCCUCGGACUCUACCAUCCCUGAUGAAUCAUGUGAGGACUGAAUGAAACUUACGUAAAACACCUUGCAAACCAAAAAGUGCUAUAUAAACAUCAGCUGUUCCUCAUGACGGAUGCUGGCCUUUGGAGAACGCCAGGAUUUGGAUAGACCAAAGAAAAAGUCACUAAAGACCCUUUCGACUGUAGUUCUUCCUAGCUCAGAAAGUGAUGAAGUUAUCGUACCAAUAAGAACAGAAAAACAGAGGAUGUUGUUUUUCUCUCCUGUAGCAGCAGCUUUAAAUUUCUCUGGAGAGAGGGAGGGGAAGAAGCGUAAAAGGAGGAGAUGGAAAGAGUGAGCCGCAGUAGCAACAGCAGAUGGAGGAUAUUUUUUGAGAAUGACUUUAAGCCUUGUAGAUACUAAAUGCUUUUCCAUUCCCUGGUUCUCUCCUUGGUUUACUAAACUAAUCUAACAAGGAGUGCCUGAAUUAGGCCUACAUGGAGAAACUGCUGGGCAAAGUUACUCUACUCUUUGUUUUUCCCUUCUAUUUUAUAGCCAUAUGCAGUUGGUGGUAUGGUUCACUACUAUUUCUCUGUGUUUUGAUUACUGGUUAUUUUUGUGUUUUUUUAAACAAUCUACUUCUAGAUAAAGAUAAUUUUUAGCGUGUCCUGAAUUGGCGUUUUUGCUGCACAGUGUGAUAAGAGGGUAGGUGUAGGAAGGGAACCUGUGUGGAGAAUUGAUUGUACAAAAUUAAACUGGCUAGAAAUCUCUUUUCUAGCCUAUGGAUCAAAAGAAUUGCCUGGGGGCUCAGAGCUUUUAUGAAUUUAAAUAAUGAUCUGUAUUUUUAAUCUUUCUAACUUGUCAGAGAACGGAAGCUGCUCAGAGCUGGGAUCUUUGCUCUUGAAUAAAAACAAAACAAAACAAAAAAAAAACUCUUAAACCAUAACUUUUUCUCCCAGCUAACACAUCACUCUACAAAGGUGGUGGUGGUGGAGGUAUCUUUGGUUUUUCUUCUCUUUAUCCCAACCCUCUACAAGAGAGAGAAUGGAGAGUAGAAGCAGGAACCACCAGAGUAGGUUCACCUCCCAUAGGUACAGAAAGAUGUGGUCAAGAAGAAUUAAUCCUAGGGAGUAGCUAGGUGGUUCAGUGGAUAAAGAGCUUAAUAAAAGACACAUGAUUGAUUCAGGGCUGGACACAGGAGGUCCUAGGUUUAAAUCUAGCCUCAGAGCACUUCCUGCCUCUGUGACUCUAAGUCAUUUAACCCCCACUGCCUACCCCUUACCCUUCUUCUGUCUUAGAACCAAUACAUAGUGUUGAUUCAAAGAAGAAGACAGAAGAAGAGGAACAGGAAGGAGGAGAACAAGAAGUAAUCGGAGAAAGAAGAAUGAUGACAUUUGCUGAACAAUACUACAUUGGGGAGUAAUAAAGAGAGUUCUGAAAUUAACUGUAAA
This is a non-coding RNA of Monodelphis domestica (gray short-tailed opossum), 2256 nucleotides long. Lineage: Eukaryota; Metazoa; Chordata; Mammalia; Didelphimorphia; Didelphidae. The record is from RefSeq and is a predicted model, not a curated record.